This 2403-nucleotide ribosomal RNA is filed under the name Escherichia coli. Its description in RNAcentral is "bacterial LSU rRNA". It matches the Rfam family "Bacterial large subunit ribosomal RNA", at positions 1 to 2431 of the family's 2925-position model. The record is from RNAcentral. Lineage: Bacteria; Pseudomonadati; Pseudomonadota; Gammaproteobacteria; Enterobacterales; Enterobacteriaceae.
UUAAGCGACUAAGCGUACACGGUGGAUGCCCUGGCAGUCAGAGGCGAUGAAGGACGUGCUAAUCUGCGAUAAGCGUCGGUGAGGUGAUAUGAACCGUUAUAACCGGCGAUUUCCGAAUGGGGAAACCCAGUGUGUUUCGACACACUAUCAUUAACUGAAUCCAUAGGUUAAUGAGGCGAACCGGGGGAACUGAAACAUCUAAGUACCCCGAGGAAAAGAAAUCAACCGAGAUUCCCCCAGUAGCGGCGAGCGAACGGGGAGGAGCCCAGAGCCUGAAUCAGUGUGUGUGUUAGUGGAAGCGUCUGGAAAGGCGUGCGAUACAGGGUGACAGCCCCGUACACAAAAAUGCACAUAUUGUGAGCUCGAUGAGUAGGACGGGACACGUGGUAUCCUGUCUGAAUAUGGGGGGACCAUCCUCCAAGGCUAAAUACUCCUGACUGACCGAUAGUGAACCAGUACCGUGAGGGAAAGGCGAAAAGAACCCCGGCGAGGGGAGUGAAAAAGAACCUGAAACCGUGUACGUACAAGCAGUGGGAGCCUCUUUAUGGGGUGACUGCGUACCUUUUGUAUAAUGGGUCAGCGACUUAUAUUCUGUAGCAAGGUUAACCGAAUAGGGGAGCCGAAGGGAAACCGAGUCUUAACUGGGCGUUAAGUUGCAGGGUAUAGACCCGAAACCCGGUGAUCUAGCCAUGGGCAGGUUGAAGGUUGGGUAACACUAACUGGAGGACCGAACCGACUAAUGUUGAAAAAUUAGCGGAUGACUUGUGGCUGGGGGUGAAAGGCCAAUCAAACCGGGAGAUAGCUGGUUCUCCCCGAAAGCUAUUUAGGUAGCGCCUCGUGAAUUCAUCUCCGGGGGUAGAGCACUGUUUCGGCAAGGGGGUCAUCCCGACUUACCAACCCGAUGCAAACUGCGAAUACCGGAGAAUGUUAUCACGGGAGACACACGGCGGGUGCUAACGUCCGUCGUGAAGAGGGAAACAACCCAGACCGCCAGCUAAGGUCCCAAAGUCAUGGUUAAGUGGGAAACGAUGUGGGAAGGCCCAGACAGCCAGGAUGUUGGCUUAGAAGCAGCCAUCAUUUAAAGAAAGCGUAAUAGCUCACUGGUCGAGUCGGCCUGCGCGGAAGAUGUAACGGGGCUAAACCAUGCACCGAAGCUGCGGCAGCGACACUAUGUGUUGUUGGGUAGGGGAGCGUUCUGUAAGCCUGUGAAGGUGGCCUGUGAGGGUUGCUGGAGGUAUCAGAAGUGCGAAUGCUGACAUAAGUAACGAUAAAGCGGGUGAAAAGCCCGCUCGCCGGAAGACCAAGGGUUCCUGUCCAACGUUAAUCGGGGCAGGGUGAGUCGACCCCUAAGGCGAGGCCGAAAGGCGUAGUCGAUGGGAAACAGGUUAAUAUUCCUGUACUUGGUGUUACUGCGAAGGGGGGACGGAGAAGGCUAUGUUGGCCGGGCGACGGUUGUCCCGGUUUAAGCGUGUAGGCUGGUUUUCCAGGCAAAUCCGGAAAACCAAGGCUGAGGCGUGAUGACGAGGCACUACGGUGCUGAAGCGACAAAUGCCCUGCUUCCAGGAAAAGCCUCUAAGCAUCAGGUAACAUCAAAUCGUACCCCAAACCGACACAGGUGGUCAGGUAGAGAAUACCAAGGCGCUUGAGAGAACUCGGGUGAAGGAACUAGGCAAAAUGGUGCCGUAACUUCGGGAGAAGGCACGCUGAUAUGUAGGUGAAGCGACUUGCUCGUGGAGCUGAAAUCAGUCGAAGAUACCAGCUGGCUGCAACUGUUUAUUAAAAACACAGCACUGUGCAAACACGAAAGUGGACGUAUACGGUGUGACGCCUGCCCGGUGCCGGAAGGUUAAUUGAUGGGGUUAGCGGCAACGCGAAGCUCUUGAUCGAAGCCCCGGUAAACGGCGGCCGUAACUAUAACGGUCCUAAGGUAGCGAAAUUCCUUGUCGGGUAAGUUCCGACCUGCACGAAUGGCGUAAUGAUGGCCAGGCUGUCUCCACCCGAGACUCAGUGAAAUUGAACUCGCUGUGAAGAUGCAGUGUACCCGCGGCAAGACGGAAAGACCCCGUGAACCUUUACUAUAGCUUGACACUGAACAUUGAGCCUUGAUGUGUAGGAUAGGUGGGAGGCUUUGAAGUGUGGACGCCAGUCUGCAUGGAGCCGACCUUGAAAUACCACCCUUUAAUGUUUGAUGUUCUAACGUUGGCCCGUAAUCCGGGUUGCGGACAGUGUCUGGUGGGUAGUUUGACUGGGGCGGUCUCCUCCUAAAGAGUAACGGAGGAGCACGAAGGUUGGCUAAUCCUGGUCGGACAUCAGGAGGUUAGUGCAAUGGCAUAAGCCAGCUUGACUGCGAGCGUGACGGCGCGAGCAGGUGCGAAAGCAGGUCAUAGUGAUCCGGUGGUUCUG